GACGAACGCUGGCGGCGUGCCUAAUACAUGCAAGUUGAGCGCUGAAGGUUGGUCCUUGUACCAACUGGAUGAGCAGCGCACGGGUGAGUAACGCGUGGGGAAUCUGCCUUUGAGCGGGGGACAACAUUUGGAAACGAAUGCUAAUACCGCAUAAAAACUUUAAACACAAGUUUUAAGUUUGAAAGAUGCAAUUGCAUCACUCAAAGAUGAUCCCGCGUUGUAUUAGCUAGUUGGUGAGGUAAAGGCUCACCAAGGCGAUGAUACAUAGCCGACCUGAGAGGGUGAUCGGCCACAUUGGGACUGAGACACGGCCCAAACUCCUACGGGAGGCAGCAGUAGGGAAUCUUCGGCAAUGGACGAAAGUCUGACCGAGCAACGCCGCGUGAGUGAAGAAGGUUUUCGGAUCGUAAAACUCUGUUGGUAGAGAAGAACGUUGGUGAGAGUGGAAAGCCCAUCAAGUGACGGUAACUACCCAGAAAGGGACGGCUAACUACGUG
This 497-nucleotide ribosomal RNA is filed under the name uncultured bacterium. RNAcentral's name for it is "partial 16S ribosomal RNA". It matches the Rfam family "Bacterial small subunit ribosomal RNA", at positions 28 to 507 of the family's 1533-position model. The record is from RNAcentral.